CCUACGGGUGGCAGCAGUGGGGAAUGUUGGACAAUGGGCGCAAGCCUGAUCCAGCUAUUCCGCGUGUGGGAUGACGGCUCUCGGGUUGUAAACCACUAUAGUAGAGAACGAAAAGGAGCGAACGAAUAAAUAGCUCUGCUGACGGUACUCGAAGAAUAAGCACCGGCUAACUACGUGCCAGCAGCCGCGGUAAUACGUAGGGUGCGAGCGUUAAUCGGAAUUACUGGGCGUAAAGGGUGUGCAGGCGGCUGAGUAAGACAGAGGGGAAAUCCCCGGGCUUAACCUGGGAACCGCAUAUGUGACUGCUUGGCUAGAGUGCGUCAGAGGGCAGUGGAAUUCCACGUGUAGCUGUGCCAUGCGUAGAUAUGUGG
This 371-nucleotide ribosomal RNA is filed under the name uncultured bacterium. RNAcentral describes it as "partial 16S ribosomal RNA". It matches the Rfam family "Bacterial small subunit ribosomal RNA", at positions 338 to 701 of the family's 1533-position model. The record is from RNAcentral.